GGAUUGUGGCUCAAUGGCAGAGCGCUUGCCUUGCACAUGUGAGGUACUAGGUUUGAUCCCCAGCACCA
RNAcentral lists this transfer RNA (68 nucleotides) under Marmota monax (woodchuck). RNAcentral's name for it is "tRNA.Ala". The record is from RNAcentral. Lineage: Eukaryota; Metazoa; Chordata; Mammalia; Rodentia; Sciuridae.